GUAAGGAAUAUUGGUCAAUGGGCGCAAGCCUGAACCAGCCAUGCCGCGUGCAGGAAGACGGCCCUCCGGGUUGUAAACUGCUUUUGUACGGGAAUAAACCUCGCUACGUGUAGCGAGCUGAAUGUACCGUAAGAAUAAGGAUCGGCUAACUCAGUGCCAGCAGCCGCGGUAAUACGGAGGAUCCAAGUGUUAUCCGGAUUUAUUGGGUUUAAAGGGUGCGUAGGCGGCCUGUUAAGUCAGGGGUGAAAGACGGUGGCUCAACCAUCGCAGUGCCCUUGAUACUGAUGGGCUUGAAUGGACUAGAGGUAGGCGGAAUGGGACAAGUAGCGGUGAAAUGCAUAGAUAUGUCACAGAACACCGAUUGCGAAGGCAGCUUACUAUGGUCUGAUUGACGCUGAGGCACGAAAGCGUGGGGAUCGAACAGGAUUAGAUACCCUUGUAGUCC
This 445-nucleotide ribosomal RNA is filed under the name uncultured bacterium. RNAcentral's name for it is "bacterial SSU rRNA". It matches the Rfam family "Bacterial small subunit ribosomal RNA", at positions 354 to 796 of the family's 1533-position model. The record is from RNAcentral.